UGGGGAAUUUUCCGCAAUGGACGAAAGUCUGACGGAGCAACGCCGCGUGAGGGACGAAGGCCUCUGGGCUGUAAACCUCUUUUCUCAAGGAAGAAGAUAUGACGGUACUUGAGGAAUAAGCCACGGCUAAUUCCGUGCCAGCAGCCGCGGUAAUACGGGAGUGGCAAGCGUUAUCCGGAAUUAUUGGGCGUAAAGCGUCCGCAGGCGGCCUUACAAGUCUGCUGUAAAAACGUGGAGCUUAACUCCAUCAUCGCAGUGGAAACUGUAGGGCUUGAGUAUGGUAGGGGCAGAGGGAAUUCCCGGUGUAGCGGUGAAAUGCGUAGAUAUCGGGAAGAACACCAGUGGCGAAGGCGCUCUGCUGGGCCAUAACUGACGCUCAUGGACGAAAGCCAGGGGAGCGAAAGGG
Molecule: ribosomal RNA, 406 nt
Filed under: uncultured bacterium
Lineage: Bacteria
Description: bacterial SSU rRNA
Rfam family: Bacterial small subunit ribosomal RNA
Source: RNAcentral